CCCUUAGAUGUUCUGGGCCGCACGCGUGCUACACUGACCGGCGCAACAAGCUUUUUUCCUUGGCUCGACAGGCCUGGGUAAUCUUCGAACGCCGGUCGUGAUGGGGAUAGAUCCUUGCAAUUUUUGAUCUUCAACGAGGAAUUCCUAGUAAAUGCGAGUCAUCAUCUCGCGUUGAUUACGUCCCUGCCCUUUGUACACACCGCCCGUCGCACCUACCGAUUGAAUGGUCCGGUGAAGCCUCCGGAUUGCGCAGGCCCCGUGUCUGGCGCGAGAAGUUGGCUAAACCUUACCAUUUAGAGGAAGGUGAAGUCGUAACA
Molecule: ribosomal RNA, 317 nt
Filed under: uncultured eukaryote
Lineage: Eukaryota
Description: partial 18S ribosomal RNA
Rfam family: Eukaryotic small subunit ribosomal RNA
Source: RNAcentral